Molecule: long non-coding RNA, 1758 nt
Organism: Gavialis gangeticus (Gharial)
Lineage: Eukaryota; Metazoa; Chordata; Crocodylia; Gavialidae
Exons: 3
Source: RefSeq, a predicted model, not a curated record
AAAAAUAUUUAAUAUUUCAACUGAACAGUAGGAUCAGAGGUACAGGAUCCAGCUGUCCAUUCAAUAUUUCGAACUUGGGAUCUUGUGACACAUGAGAAUAAGAAAGAUCAAACCUUCCAUUUCAGAGGGGCUUGGGAUUUAAAAUUUCUAGGGGAUGCUGUCCUCAUUCUGUCAUCGAAUGCUCUUAUAUAGACAUCCCAUUUCCAUGUUAAACUUCAGAGCAGGUUUGGUAAGGUGAGACGACACCACGCUUAUUCUCCUCAUUUCAGUGUGAUCAAGGCGUUUUGCUUUCUGGAGAUCUUGCAUCAUUCAGCAGUCCUCUGGUGUAUUUCACUUAUAUCAGACCUCUUGUCUCAGGAUAAUAGAUUAGGCUAUCAUACCGGCCUAUUUGCAUUUACUGUAUGAUUUUUUGGAUGGACUUUGGGGAUAGAGCAUUUUCUAUUAGUGUGAAAAAAUAUAACAGAUAUCAAGGAGUAUAGUGUAAAAUGGAGAAACGUUGUGGCCUGAUGCGAAUGUCCACUUGUGCCCUUUGAGUCUCAAAUCCCAAUGAGUCUAACCAAUCUACGUUCUUUAAACAUCUUGGGUCUCUUGUUGAAACCUUGUGAUGCAUCUUCCUAGCAUUUAUAUCUGUCAUACACAUAGAGAAGGGUUUUCAAUAGUGUCUCAGCUUACAACCAUCUUCCUUUAGAAUGCAAAGGCUUAGAGGAUGCAUUGCCAUUUGUAAGCAGGGUUACCCUAUUUCCUGACUCGAAACAGGACACUUCCCACUCCCCCCUCAUUGCUCUGGCACACUUGGUGCCUCAGAGCCUCGCUGGGACUGUUCCAUUUGAAAAUGGGGUGUAUGGUCACCCUGUCCAUAAGGGAAUUGACAGCAAUAUGGCACCUAAUGUAGAUUUAGCAGGUCAUAUGGGCCCUCCCUUUGAAACAAGAGCUUUCUAUUCUUUCCUGUGUUUGUAUAUGGAGACCUCCUUUCUCCUUCCUCCCUGCUUCUAUGAGAAACUUUCAUACAUUUAUCACCUGUGAAGCUGCUAUUUAGAGGCUCUAUACACGCUGAAAGACAUUUAAGGUGAAGGCCUAUUGGUAGAUGAGUGCUCAAUUUAUUUUUAGAUCCAAAUCUGAGCACUCGCCACUUUAAGUAAAUCAUUGCUUGGGAAUUUUGUAGUGUAUAAUAUACGUGGACAAUAUACGUGGACAAGUGCUCAAAGAAGAAAAAAGGUAGUUUAUCUGUACAGAAAGGUCCAUUGAAAUAAGUUUUCCAUAUGUGUCUUUUAUGACCUUCCCCUCCCUUUUGGGAGUUUACUGUACCAUCAGGCCUGCUGUGAAGAAGGAAUUGGAGUGCUGGUUGGUCCUUCAUUGCCUUUUAUACUCUGUUUUUGAGGCAUAAGUGUUCUCAUGGUGAUGCACAGACUGAGAUAACCCUGUUUAACUGAAACUCAGGUCUUGAGCAGAUGGGGUGCAUGCGUAACUAAAAUGGAAUACACGAAUGGGCAGUCUGUCUUGAAUCACUGGCAUAUUGUACCAGCAAACAAUUUCUUUUUGUGUAUUCUGCAUGUUAGAUGAGACAGUACUACCACUAAUUAGACUUUCACUGUGUUUUCUUAAAAGCUCUUUGAACUUUAUUAAAUUCAUUUUUUGAAUCUGAAUCGCUGUAACAGAUCUGUUCUUCUGUGCUCCAUGUAUGUUCAUAUCUACAGGGUUGCAAAUUCUUAUAGUCCUAAGUCUUUCCUCUCCACAAAGAUAUAAACAUGUUUAACUCUA